UUGAAUAUUAUAUGUCUGAAUAUACCAUGCUGGUAACAACCUAUAAACAUAUGUAUGUUGCAUGUUCUAAAGAAAUAUUUUUGCCUUCAGAUUGAUUUUGUAGCAAGCAAAUUGUCAUGAUCCCGUAAAGACCAUAAAUAGACUCAAAUUCAGAUCUGUGUACAUAGUGCAGCCUUUUAUCCAUUAGACCACUGUGUCAAGGUUGUUCUCAUGGUUCUUAGACUCAAAUUCAGAUCAAUGUACAUUACUUCACCC
Molecule: long non-coding RNA, 255 nt
Filed under: Setaria viridis
Lineage: Eukaryota; Viridiplantae; Streptophyta; Magnoliopsida; Poales; Poaceae
Description: long non-coding RNA (SVIR_LNC007588)
Source: RNAcentral